Molecule: ribosomal RNA, 484 nt
Filed under: uncultured bacterium
Lineage: Bacteria
Description: partial 16S ribosomal RNA
Rfam family: Bacterial small subunit ribosomal RNA
Source: RNAcentral
GUUGAACGCUGGCGGCAGGCCUAACACAUGCAAGUCGAGCGGAUGAAGGGAGCUUGCUCCUGGAUUCAGCGGCGGACGGGUGAGUAAUGCCUGGGAAUCUGCCUGGUAGUGGGGGAUAACGUCCGGAAACGGGCGCUAAUAACGCAUACGUCCUGAGGGAGAAAGUGGGGGAUCUUCGGACCUCACGCUAUCAGAUGAGCCUAGGUCGGAUUAGCUAGUUGGUGGGGUAAAGGCCUACCAAGGCGACGAUCCGUAACUGGUCUGAGAGGAGGAUCAGUCACACUGGAACUGAGACACGGUCCAGACUCCUACGGGAGGCAGCAGUGGGGAAUAUUGGACAAUGGGCGAAAGCCUGAUCCAGCCAUGCCGCGUGUAUGAAGAAGGUCUUCGGAUUGUAAAGCACUUUAAGUUGGGAGGAAGGGCAGUAAGUUAAUACCUUGCUGUUUUGACGUUACCAACAGAAUAAGCACCGGCUAACUUCGUG